GACGAACGCUGGCGGCGUGCCUAAUACAUGCAAGUAGAACGCUGAAGGAGGAGCUUGCUUCUCCGGAUGAGUUGCGAACGGGUGAGUAACGCGUAGGUAACCUGCCUGGUAGCGGGGGAUAACUAUUGGAAACGAUAGCUAAUACCGCAUAAGAGUAGAUGUCGCAUGACAUUUGCUUAAAAGGUGCAACUGCACCACUACCAGAUGGACCUGCGUUGUAUUAGCUAGUUGGUGAGGUAACGGCUCACCAGGGCAACGAUACAUAGCCGACCUGAGAGGGUGAUCGGCCACACUGGGACUGAGACACGGCCCAGACUCCUACGGGAGGCAGCAGUAGGGAAUCUUCGGCAAUGGACGGAAGUCUGACCGAGCAACGCCGCGUGAGUGAAGAAGGUUUUCGGAUCGUAAAGCUCUGUUGUAAGAGAAGAACGAGUGUGAGAGUGGAAAGUUCACACUGUGACGGUAGCUUACCAGAAAGGGACGGCUAACUACGUG
Molecule: ribosomal RNA, 495 nt
Filed under: uncultured bacterium
Lineage: Bacteria
Description: partial 16S ribosomal RNA
Rfam family: Bacterial small subunit ribosomal RNA
Source: RNAcentral